Molecule: ribosomal RNA, 489 nt
Filed under: uncultured bacterium
Lineage: Bacteria
Description: bacterial SSU rRNA
Rfam family: Bacterial small subunit ribosomal RNA
Source: RNAcentral
GACGAACGCUGGCGGCGUGCUUAACACAUGCAAGUCGAACGGUGAAGGUGGGAGCUUGCUCCUGCUGGAUCAGUGGCGAACGGGUGAGUAACACGUGAGUAACCUGCCCUUGACUCUGGGAUAAGCGUUGGAAACGACGUCUAAUACCGGAUACGAGCUUCAGCCGCAUGGCUAGGAGUUGGAAAGAAUUUCGGUCAAGGAUGGACUCGCGGCCUAUCAGCUUGUUGGUGAGGUAAUGGCUCACCAAGGCGACGACGGGUAGCCGGCCUGAGAGGGUGACCGGCCACACUGGGACUGAGACACGGCCCAGACUCCUACGGGAGGCAGCAGUGGGGAAUAUUGCACAAUGGGCGCAAGCCUGAUGCAGCAACGCCGCGUGAGGGACGACGGCCUUCGGGUUGUAAACCUCUUUUAGCAGGGAAGAAGCGAAAGUGACGGUACCUGCAGAAAAAGCACCGGCUAACUACGUGCCAGCAGCCGCAGUAAAAC